RNAcentral lists this ribosomal RNA (677 nucleotides) under uncultured Gammaproteobacteria bacterium. RNAcentral describes it as "bacterial SSU rRNA". It matches the Rfam family "Bacterial small subunit ribosomal RNA", at positions 76 to 753 of the family's 1533-position model. Lineage: Bacteria; Pseudomonadati; Pseudomonadota; Gammaproteobacteria. The record is from RNAcentral.
GCUAUCAGGCGUCGAGCGGCGGACGGGUGAGUAAUGCUUAGGAAACUGCCCAGUAGUGGGGGAUAGCCCGGGGAAACCCGGAUUAAUACCGCGUACGCCCUUCGGGGGAAAGCAGGGGAUCUUCGGACCUUGCGCUAUUGGAUGUGCCUAAGUCGGAUUAGCUAGUUGGUGGGGUAAAGGCCUACCAAGGCGACGAUCCGUAGCUGGUCUGAGAGGAUGAUCAGCCACAUCGGGACUGAGACACGGCCCGAACUCCUACGGGAGGCAGCAGUGGGGAAUAUUGGACAAUGGGGGCAACCCUGAUCCAGCCAUGCCGCGUGUGUGAAGAAGGCUUUCGGGUUGUAAAGCACUUUCAGUGAGGAGGAAAAGUUAGUCGUUAAUACCGGCUAGCCUUGACGUUACUCACAGAAGAAGCACCGGCUAACUCCGUGCCAGCAGCCGCGGUAAUACGGAGGGUGCAAGCGUUAAUCGGAAUUACUGGGCGUAAAGCGCGCGUAGGUGGUUUGAUAAGCGAGAUGUGAAAGCCCCGGGCUUAACCUGGGAACGGCAUUUCGAACUGUCAGGCUAGAGUGUGGUAGAGGGUAGUGGAAUUUCCUGUGUAGCGGUGAAAUGCGUAGAUAUAGGAAGGAACACCAGUGGCGAAGGCGGCUACCUGGACCAACACUGACACUGAGGUG